CCGAUCGUGCGCCUAUCGGCUGUGCCCGGCGCGCACUCUGGAAUAUCCUUGGCGCCUUCGAUACCACUGAGCGGUGCGCGCGCUUGCCGAAGCGAGGCGGUGGCACACUGCGCAAUGGCCGACCUUGCCCGGGCCCUGUACGAAAGCGCGUCGCCAACGUCUUUUCGUAGA
Molecule: small RNA, 171 nt
Filed under: Pseudomonas aeruginosa PAK
Lineage: Bacteria; Pseudomonadati; Pseudomonadota; Gammaproteobacteria; Pseudomonadales; Pseudomonadaceae
Description: potential sRNA
Source: RNAcentral